RNAcentral lists this non-coding RNA (31 nucleotides) under Homo sapiens (human). The record is from RNAcentral. Lineage: Eukaryota; Metazoa; Chordata; Mammalia; Primates; Hominidae.
UCAUGGAGGAAAGAGCAAAUCUUGAAUUGUU